UCAUUUCCGAAGGCUUCUCAACCACCGUCGGCCGCGGCUUGGUGCGCACGGGACUCUUUUUUAUGCCAGCCGCAGGACAAGCCCACGGGAGACCAAUAUCCGCACCGCAAGCACCCGAGCCACCACGAGGGGGUUCGGGGUUGCAGGGCGACGGAGCGCGUGACGCCCAGGCAGACGUGCCCUCGGCCUAAUGGCUUCGGGCGCAACUUGCGUUCAAAGACUCGAUGGUUCACGGGAUUCUGCAAUUCACACCAAGUAUCGCAUUUCGCUGCGUUCUUCAUCGAUGCCGAAUACGUAAC
This 299-nucleotide unclassified non-coding RNA is filed under the name uncultured fungus. RNAcentral describes it as "sequence contains ITS1". Lineage: Eukaryota; Fungi. The record is from RNAcentral.